UGGGGAAUUUUGGACAAUGGGGGCAACCCUGAUCCAGCCAUGCCGCGUGAGUGAAGAAGGCCUUCGGGUUGUAAAGCUCUUUCGGCGGGGACGAAACGGUCCGUGACAACACCACGGACUAAUGACAGUACUCGCAGAAGAAGCACCGGCUAACUACGUGCCAGCAGCCGCGGUAAUACGUAGGGUGCAGGCGUUAAUCGGAAUUACUGGGCGUAAAGCGUGCGCAGGCGGCUCCUUAAGUCAGAUGUGAAAUCCCCGGGCUUAACCUGGGAACUGCGUUUGAAACUGAGGGGCUAGAGUGUGGAAGAGGGGGGUGGAAUUCCAGGUGUAGCAGUGAAAUGCGUAGAGAUCUGGAGGAACACCGAUGGCGAAGGCAGCCCCCUGGGCUAACACUGACGCUCAUGCACGAAAGCGUGGGGAGCAAACAGGAUUAGAUACCCAGGUAGUCCCUGAGCGGGC
Molecule: ribosomal RNA, 459 nt
Filed under: uncultured bacterium
Lineage: Bacteria
Description: bacterial SSU rRNA
Rfam family: Bacterial small subunit ribosomal RNA
Source: RNAcentral